GAAGCUAGAAUUCUAACCCAUGACCAUUAUGCUGGUCAGGGAACAGUUUCAGGUGGGCGAGUUUGACUGGGGCGGUCGCCUCCCAAAAGGUAACGGAGGCGCGCAAUGGUCCCCUCAGGUGGGAUGGUCAUCCACCGGCGCGUGCAACGGCACAAGGGGGGCUUGACUGCGAGACAGACAGGUCGAGCAGGGACGAAAGUCGGCCGUAGUGAUCCCACAGUGCCGAGUGGAAGGGCUGUGGCUUAACGGAUAAAAGCUACCCC
RNAcentral lists this ribosomal RNA (263 nucleotides) under Nostoc sp. HG1. RNAcentral describes it as "partial 23S ribosomal RNA". It matches the Rfam family "Bacterial large subunit ribosomal RNA", at positions 2210 to 2469 of the family's 2925-position model. Lineage: Bacteria; Bacillati; Cyanobacteriota; Cyanophyceae; Nostocales; Nostocaceae. The record is from RNAcentral.